Molecule: ribosomal RNA, 555 nt
Filed under: Neblinichthys echinasus
Lineage: Eukaryota; Metazoa; Chordata; Actinopteri; Siluriformes; Loricariidae
Description: partial 16S ribosomal RNA
Rfam family: Bacterial large subunit ribosomal RNA
Source: RNAcentral
CAAAAACAUCGCCUCCCGCAAAAAAUCAACGUAUAGGAGGUCUUGCCUGCCCAGUGACUAUAAGUUAAACGGCCGCGGUAUUUUGACCGUGCAAAGGUAGCGCAAUCACUUGUCUUUUAAAUAAAGACCUGUAUGAAUGGUGAAACGAGGGCUUAACUGUCUCCCCCUUCUAGUCAAUGAAAUUGAUCUACCCGUGCAGAAGCGGGUAUAAUAAUACAAGACGAGAAGACCCUUUGGAGCUUAAGAUAAAAGACUAACUAUGUUAAAAGUCCUAAAAAAGACUAAACCAAAUAGCACUAGUCCUAAUCUUCGGUUGGGGCGACCGCGGGAGAAAACAAAGCUCCCACGCGGACUGGGGCUCCCCCCAAAACUAAGAGAGACAUCUCUAAGGCACAGAACAUCUGACCAAAAAGAUCCGGCUACAUGCCGACCAGCGGACCAAGUUACCCUAGGGAUAACAGCGCAAUCCCCUUCCAGAGUUCAUAUCGACAAGGGGGUUUACGACCUCGAUGUUGGAUCAGGACAUCCUAAUGGUGCAGCCGCUAUUAAGGGUUC